Molecule: long non-coding RNA, 238 nt
Filed under: Prunus persica (peach)
Lineage: Eukaryota; Viridiplantae; Streptophyta; Magnoliopsida; Rosales; Rosaceae
Description: long non-coding RNA (PPER_LNC000818)
Source: RNAcentral
CACCUUAUAACCAUAGGCUGCCUACGUACCCUUACUGAGGGAUCAAGCCACACGUACUUCUUUAAUUGCAAAACCACUCUAGUUCUCAUAUUUCAUCUCAGCUCUCUAUUUCAAACUUCCUGGCAUUUCUCACAUAGCAAUAUAUAAUCAAAAGAAGAAAUAAAAGCAUUUAUAUCAAGUAAUCAUGCUUGGAAAGUCAUAACCAUCAAUUCCUCGUGACACCAAUGGUGACACGUCC